CUGGCUCAGAUUGAACGCUGGCGGCAUGCCUUACACAUGCAAGUCGAACGGCAGCACGGGAGCAAUCCUGGUGGCGAGUGGCGAACGGGUGAGUAAUAUAUCGGAACGUGCCCAGUCGUGGGGGAUAACGCAGCGAAAGCUGUGCUAAUACCGCAUACGAUCUACGGAUGAAAGCGGGGGACCUGUAAGGGCCUCGCGCGAUUGGAGCGGCUGAUAUCAGAUUAGCUAGUUGGUGGGGUAAAGGCCUACCAAGGCGACGAUCUGUAGCUGGUCUGAGAGGACGACCAGCCACACUGGAACUGAGACACGGUCCAGACUCCUACGGGAGGCAGCAGUGGGGAAUUUUGGACAAUGGGCGAAAGCCUGAUCCAGCAAUGCCGCGUGCAGGAUGAAGGCCUUCGGGUUGUAAACUGCUUUUGUACGGAGCGAAAAGGCUUCUCCUAAUACGAGGGGCUCAUGACGGUACCGUAAGAAUAAGCACCGGCUAACUACGUGCCAGCAGCCGCGGUAAUACGUAGGGUGCGAGCGUUAAUCGGAAUUACUGGGCGUAAAGCGUGCGCAGGCGGUUUUGUAAGACAGAUGUGAAAUCCCCGGGCUCAACCUGGGACCUGCAUUUGUGACUGCAAGGCUAGAGUACGGUAGAGGGGGAUGGAAUUCCGCGUGUAGCAGUGAAAUGCGUAGAUAUGCGGAGGAACACCGAUGGCGAAGGCAAUCCCCUGGACCUGUACUGACGCUCAUGCACGAAAGCGUGGGGAGCAAACAGGAUUAGAUACCCUGGUAGUCCACGCCCUAAACGAUGUCAACUGGUUGUUGGGUCUUUACUGACUCAGUAACGAAGCUAAC
RNAcentral lists this ribosomal RNA (843 nucleotides) under Rhodoferax sp. AKB-2008-TE4. Its description in RNAcentral is "bacterial SSU rRNA". It matches the Rfam family "Bacterial small subunit ribosomal RNA", at positions 19 to 856 of the family's 1533-position model. Lineage: Bacteria; Pseudomonadati; Pseudomonadota; Betaproteobacteria; Burkholderiales; Comamonadaceae. The record is from RNAcentral.